Molecule: ribosomal RNA, 843 nt
Filed under: Neoroussoella sp.
Lineage: Eukaryota; Fungi; Ascomycota; Dothideomycetes; Pleosporales; Thyridariaceae
Description: partial large subunit ribosomal RNA
Rfam family: Eukaryotic large subunit ribosomal RNA
Source: RNAcentral
UUGCCUCAGUAACGGCGAGUGAAGCGGCAACAGCUCAAAUUUGAAAUCUGGCCCUUUCAGGGUCCGAGUUGUAAUUUGCAGAGGGUGCUUUGGCGUCGGCCGUGGUCUAAGUUCCUUGGAACAGGACGUCACAGAGGGUGAGAAUCCCGUACGUGGCCGCCGGUCUUCGCCGUGUAAAGCCCCUUCGACGAGUCGAGUUGUUUGGGAAUGCAGCUCUAAAUGGGAGAUACAUUUCUUCUAAAGCUAAAUAUUGGCCAGAGACCGAUAGCGCACAAGUAGAGUGAUCGAAAGAUGAAAAGCACUUUGGAAAGAGAGUCAAAAAGCACGUGAAAUUGUUGAAAGGGAAGCGCUUGCAGCCAGACGUGCCCGCAGUUGCUCACCCAGGCUCUUGCCUGGGGCACUCUUCUGCGGGCAGGCCAGCAUCAGUUCGGGCGGUUGGAUAAAGGUCUCUAUCACGUACCACCCUUCGGGGUGUCCUUAUAGGGGAGACGCAACACGGCCAGCCUGAACUGAGGACCGCGCAUCAGCUAGGAUGCUGGCGUAAUGGCUGUAAGCGGCCCGUCUUGAAACACGGACCAAGGAGUCUAACAUCUAUGCGAGUGUUUGGGUGUAAAGCCCGGGCGCGCAAUGAAAGUGAACGGAGGUGGGAACCCUUUGGGUGCACCAUCGACCGAUCCUGAAGUCUUCGGAUGGAUUUGAGUAAGAGCAUAGCUGUUGGGACCCGAAAGAUGGUGAACUAUGCCUGAAUAGGGUGAAGCCAGGGGAAACCCUGGUGGAGGCUCGCAGCGGUUCUGACGUGCAAAUCGAUCGUCAAAUUUGGGCAUAGGGGCGAAAGACUAAUCG